This is a long non-coding RNA of Phalaenopsis equestris, 1093 nucleotides long. RefSeq lists it as uncharacterized. The record is from RefSeq and is a predicted model, not a curated record. NCBI's taxonomy places the organism in Eukaryota, Viridiplantae, Streptophyta, Magnoliopsida, Asparagales, Orchidaceae. The transcript is spliced from 2 exons.
UUUGAAUCAUUUUUUAAUCCUUGUGGGAUUUUCAUAUGCACAUCUUUGAGGACUCCGUUCAAAAUCACAUUCUUGAUAACAAGUUAAUUUAAGUUCUCAUUCUUUCUUCACUGCUAAGGAAAGAAGAAUCCUUACAAUGCUUAACUUGAACAUUAAAGCAAAUGUUUCUUAAUAGUCUUUCCCAUAAGACUGAGUGAAGUCUUUAGGCUCCGUUUGGGGCAGCUUAAAAGUGCGGCGAAGUUUUCAAAACGCUGCCUUUCUGUUUGAUUCGCAAGUUCUGCCAGCGUUUUUAAAACUGCUUAUUUAAUUUCUUAAUGAACACGGGAUGCAGGGUCAACCCCGCGUUCCACGUUCGUUCGGGAUUCUUUACUCCGCUGCCCUCGACCUCAGAAGAAGGCGCAAACAGGCAGAUUUAAAAACGCAAGGAUGAAGAUGGGAGUUUCGGUGGUCUAUGUAAUUUGGUCUUCUCGCCCAUAAUAACGAAUCACCGCUUCUCGCCGGAGAACCCCAGUCCACCGCCGCAGACAUUGCUCACCAAGCGCACAAUCUCCACCAUCGCUUCAUAAGACGACCCACCCUCCCGCAGCGCCGCCCUUCCGCUAUCGCCAACCACAGCGGCCCGAGCUCUCAGCUCCUUACCUCCCUCAGACUCCAUCAACCAAUGGACUCGCUCCUCUAUUUCAUCGAAUCCACCAGUCCCUUCUUAUAACCUCGCAUUUCCACCACAAGUUUCACCUCCUCAACCAAGAACACCUUGUUCAUCCGCUGCUCCGCGUAAAGGAACCACGUGAUCAUCGUCACUCCGGCCACAAUCAAUUCCAGUGCUGAGUUCUACCCGCAGUCAGUCUUCCCAGUGGCCACCGAUAUCAAUUUCAAUUUCGAAAGUUAACCAGUUUGAUGCUGCAAGGUUGGAUGUGGAAAUGUCUGCUAUGUUGAAGGAGAAGCAAGUUAGAGUAUUUUAUUUAUUGAAGGGCUACCACUGUAGGACAGGAAGGUCUGUGAUCUUUAGCUUUUUUCUGCUCUGUUGAAGUAAACAGAGCUAAUUUCAUUUAAUGCAUUGAUACUUGAGCUGUUAUAGCAUUUGAUUAUAUUA